CAUCUCCCCUGGAAGAUUAGGCUUUUCAGCACUCCUUGAAGAAUCAGGGCUGUGCAGCUCCUUUGGUGGAUGAGCUACUGUCUUGUUAAGAUCGCCAACAUCUUCUUCCUCUUCUUUGAGCUUGGAACAAUCGAAUUAAGAUUCGAGAAAUUAAAAC
Molecule: long non-coding RNA, 157 nt
Organism: Telopea speciosissima
Lineage: Eukaryota; Viridiplantae; Streptophyta; Magnoliopsida; Proteales; Proteaceae
Exons: 3
Source: RefSeq, a predicted model, not a curated record